RNAcentral lists this transfer RNA (73 nucleotides) under Thermoleophilia bacterium. RNAcentral describes it as "tRNA-Ala". It matches the Rfam family "tRNA". Rfam says of the family: Transfer RNA (tRNA) molecules are approximately 80 nucleotides in length. The record is from RNAcentral. Lineage: Bacteria; Bacillati; Actinomycetota; Thermoleophilia.
GGGCCCGUGGUGUAGUGGCAGCAUUGCGAGACUCGCCAUUUCGCAGGGGCCGGUUCGAUUCCGGCCGGGUCCA